GCUCAGAAACUUAAGGAAUUGACGGGGCCCGCACAAGCGGUGGAGCAUGUGGUUUAAUUCGAUGAUACGCGAGGAACCUUACCUGGGCUCAAAUGUAUGUUGACGUAUUCUGAAAGGGAUACUUCUUCGGACAAUAUACAAGGUGCUGCAUGGUUGUCGUCAGCUCGUGCCGUGAGGUGUCGGGUUAAGUCCCAUAACGAGCGCAACCCCUAUCAUUAGUUGCCAUCAGGUCAAGCUGGGGACUCUAAUGAAACUGCCUACGCAAGUAGUGAGGAAGGUGGGGAUGACGUCAAAUCAGCACGGCCCUUACGUCCAGGGCUACACACGUGCUACAAUGGCCGAUACAGAGGGCAGCUACCUGGUGACAGGAUGCAAAUCUCCAAAGUCGGUCUCAGUUCGGAUCGGAGUCUGCAACCCGACUCCGUGAAGUUGGAUUCGCUAGUAAUCGCGCAUCAGCCAUGGCGCGGUGAAUACGUUCCCGGGCCUU
RNAcentral lists this ribosomal RNA (487 nucleotides) under uncultured Sphingobacteriales bacterium. RNAcentral describes it as "bacterial SSU rRNA". It matches the Rfam family "Bacterial small subunit ribosomal RNA", at positions 904 to 1382 of the family's 1533-position model. Lineage: Bacteria; Pseudomonadati; Bacteroidota; Sphingobacteriia; Sphingobacteriales. The record is from RNAcentral.